This is a long non-coding RNA of Macaca fascicularis (crab-eating macaque), 1522 nucleotides long. Lineage: Eukaryota; Metazoa; Chordata; Mammalia; Primates; Cercopithecidae. The record is from Ensembl.
AGUAUGCAGAAUGAGUAUAUUUCCUCCUCCUCUUUAGUUUUUUUCUUCCUAUUUAUUUUUAUUUUGAAAAAUUUCUACACCGUCUUUGAAUUCCUUGUAUGAAUAUUUGUUUCUUAGAAGUUAAUUUGUGUGAAAUGAGAUUCUUCAAAACAAUGAAACCUCAUAGCUCUGAGAAAAGGUUUUAGGCUUUUAAAUUCUAAGCAAACUGUGACUGUGGCUGACUGACUACACAUUUAAUUAUCCAGCUUCUCUUUCUUAACCACAGGCAGAUUAACCUCAUUGUGGAUUGUCCUUGAGACCUUAGUCCUCAGGGAUGGUUUCUGGUGCCCACUCCUGGAAGCCGCUGUUCCCUUUCUACCUUCUUACCAGAGCCCAAGGGCAGGCCUGGUCUCGGGGAAGCAGCAGCUUGCCGACGUGGGUCAGCUGCAAAGCCUGAGGGGUGUGGCCUCAGGGAAGCCCGCCCCAAUCCUGCCCCAGAGCCCAGAGUCGCAGCUCCCAGGGAUGCUCCUUCCCUGGGAGUGGCCCAGGAGAGGGACUCUGGCAGUGUUCUUCAGAUUUGUGGCCACUGUUUCUCAUUUGCUGGUUGACUGUUUUUAUUUCUUAGGCUUUUGCUAGUUUUAGAAAAUAGGGAAGCAGCCCGUGAUUUGUGGAUCAAAAGCAACAUUUGAGCGAUGAUGCACAACAGUCCAGGAAAAGGGGCAGUGGACCCUUGAGGCUGAGGAUGGGAGUCGACAUGGGCGGGGAGAGGGAGGUGCGCUCUGCUUAUCUGUGACUGUUGCUCACCUGAGUGUGGCUGAUUGUGUACAUCCAGCAGUUACAAUUUUUAAAAAUUUUAGAGUUAUUCUAUAUUUUUCUCACCCCCAGUAAUUUCCUUCCAAAUAAGUUCACAUGUAAUAAGUAGAAAUACUGUAUAGGAAAAAAGCAUUAAAAAUACUAUUAUAACUGCUUCAUUUGCUGGGAACCAUUAAAAGUAUUGUAAAUUAGCUUUUUCCAGAAGGAUCCUUUGUAGCAGUGUUCAGGAAUGUAACCCCCAGCAAAAUGUGGCUAUAUAUUAGGGAAGCCAGUCUGGAGCAGAGGCCUGAAGGUCCCUGCUAUGCAGCCGUGGCCACAGCUCACCGCACCAGCGCUGUGGAGCACCCGCACCUUCGAUGGCAAUGCAGAGUGGUAGCAGGCUCCAUAGGCGUAACAAAACAGUAUUAAAGCUCAGCGUUUUGCAUACUUUUAGCAUUUAAAAAUAUUUUUGCUUUAGUGUGAGGAAAGUAAGGAUGGGCAAAGAGGCGAUCAAAAUAGCUAUAGCUAUGACAUUUUAGAAAACAAAGUCGGGGCCGUAUUUCUUUAAAAAGAUAAGCCUCUAAAAAUGCUUGGCUGAAAAAGUACAGUGUUAAAAUAGGCAGUGAUAUUAAUGAGAAAAUGAAAGUAUGUAUCAGGAAUAAAGUGAUAUUGCAUAGGAGUAUUGUAUUUUUAUGAAUUUUAUGCCAGUUGUUUACAUGUACUAUAUAUGUUAAAUAAAAAUCAUUAAAAA